GAUGAACGCUAGCGGCAGGCUUAAUACAUGCAAGUUGAGGGGCAGCAUGAUAUACGCGAGUAUAUUGAUGGCGACCGGCGGACGGGUGAGUAAUAGGUAGGAGACCUACCUCAUACAGGGGGAUAGCAUAGAGAAAUCUGUGGUAAUACCCCAUGAGGUUAUAUGAAUAGAGGCAUAUAAUCAAAGCAUAAGCGAUUAUGCGGUAUGAGAGGGGCCUACUGACCAUUAGCUAGUUGGUGAGGUAAGGGCUCACCAAGGCGAAGAUGGUUAGGGGUUUUGAGAGAGAGACCCCCCACAUUGGAACUGAGAGACGGUCCAGACUCCUACGGGAGGCAGCAGUAGGGAAUAUUAGGGCAAUGGGCGAAAGCCUGACCCAGCCAUGCCGCGUGAAGGAACGGGCCUUAUGGGUUGUAAACUGACUUUUGAUGGGACAAUAAGGUCUAUGCGUAGACUGAUGAGAGUACCAUACGAAU
RNAcentral lists this ribosomal RNA (473 nucleotides) under uncultured bacterium. RNAcentral describes it as "bacterial SSU rRNA". It matches the Rfam family "Bacterial small subunit ribosomal RNA", at positions 28 to 487 of the family's 1533-position model. The record is from RNAcentral.